UACAGAGGUGGCAAGCGUUGUUCGGAAUUACUGGGCGUAAAGGGCGCGUAGGCGGCCUUCUAAGUCAGACGUGAAAUCCCCCGGCUUAACCUGGGAACUGCGUCUGAUACUGGGAGGCUCGAGUAUGGGAGAGGGAUGUAGAAUUCCAGGUGUAGCGGUGAAAUGCGUAGAUAUCUGGAGGAACACCGGUGGCGAAGGCGGGUCUCUGGGCAGUAACUGACGCUGAGGAGCGAAAGCGUGGGUAGCAAACAGG
Molecule: ribosomal RNA, 253 nt
Filed under: uncultured bacterium
Lineage: Bacteria
Description: partial 16S ribosomal RNA
Rfam family: Bacterial small subunit ribosomal RNA
Source: RNAcentral